UUAAGAAACUCAUGAUGAAUACCAUUAUGAAUUUGUUUUUUUCUGGUGGUGGUGGAUGGCACAGAAAGGGGCAGAUGCAGUGUUAGGGUUUGAGGAAAAAUGAGAGUGAAGAGAGAGAAGGGUAAUGAUGAAGAGUGAAUCAAUAUUUGUUUAGAAGCAGAGAGAAACAAUGAAGAAUGAAUCGAAAGUUGUUUAGAAGCAGAGAGAAACAAUGAAGACACAAUCAAUGGUUGUGCAAGAAGCAGAGAGAAACAAUGAAGACAUAAUCAAUGGGUUUCUGUUCUCCUGAUGAUAUCAUCUCUACGGUUGGAGUUCUUUCUUCUUUGCUCGUUAAAUAUCAGAAAUCGGAAGUGGAAAAGGAGAGAUGUCUCACACAUGAAGCCAAACAGAAACAAACAAAAAGCAAGCCUUAGGGACCAUCCACACAUGAAAAUUCUUACUUUUGUAAUUGUUUUUUUGUUGUAAAAUAUAUACAAAAAUAUAAUUAACCUAAACUUUAGUAUAAAACAUAGUGUUUAUUUCUUUUAAAAUGUGACCAUGUAUUUCGACUUACUUAACUCAUAUUGGUAGAAAAAAAACAAUAUUAUCAUGAUUAUUAUAUUUUUAA
Long non-coding RNA from Lathyrus oleraceus (garden pea), 607 nucleotides. RefSeq lists it as uncharacterized. The transcript is spliced from 3 exons. The record is from RefSeq and is a predicted model, not a curated record. NCBI's taxonomy places the organism in Eukaryota, Viridiplantae, Streptophyta, Magnoliopsida, Fabales, Fabaceae.